UGGAUGGAGAGGGAAGGAGCUCACUGAGCCAAGGUCAGCGGUGGCUCCAUUCACAAUAAUCAGUAGGUAUCUGGGGACUUACAUCUGUGGGUAUGCUUAUCUUUCUGUGUGUCCGUAUGCAUGUUUUUGUGUGUUUUCAUCUCCCCCAAACCCAACCACAGCACACACAGGGGCUAUGAGCCAGGAUCUCUCACAGAUUAGGCAAUAAUCAAUUAACAAAUUAAAAAAAGUAAGCAUAACUACCUUGUAUCUCUUGUGUUAUGAAACACUUAAACACUUAGGUGCACAACUACGGCAGUUGGCCCAAAGUCCUGCACUUUUUUUUUUUUUUUUAGCAGGAUAGCAGAUGUUGGAAAAGGCUUUGAUAGGUGUAUUGGCUCAGAGGAAAAUCCAACAGUAUUUAUGGUUGAAACAUGAAAGGGUCCUGGCUUGUGGAUGCAUUUAUAUUUGAAUGGCACCCACUUCAUUACUUAAUGAUUUGAAAAGGCUGUUAGGGAGCUGAACCUGAGCCAAUGAACCUGUGACCCUGCUGAGUCAAUGUGCUAAGCAGACACAGGCCCUGCUUCAGGCGGCUCCACUCCCUCACACCACGGAAACACGACAUCUGCAUGUGGACUAAAUGAGGAAACACUGAGUGGAAGACAAAUGAACCACAUGCUUAUAUACUGUAUAUGUACAGUACAUGUGAGUUAGUUUACAAUGUAACAUGAAAGUUUGAAUGUAGGAUAGAAUUAUAAUGUGCUUCUGGGAGAGUCAAACUUCACACAUAGAGUUAAAAAUAGCCAUCAAUAAUCUUUCUUCAAAAGACAAAAACAGUGAUCUUAGAGCUUUUUUCUAAUAAACAUAGACCAGCUGGAGCACUUAAACAUGCAUUAAAGGGUUACUCUGAGUUUCAGUGGUGUAGUAAUACUUGUAAAUAUCAACUGCAUUUCCCACAGGAGAUCAGUGAGGCUUCCUCUUUGUUUAAUAUAUGACCAGAGAUCCCACAUGGAAGCUGAGCCUUGAACAGCUUUGCCAGUUACCAACCAGAGUCAAUUAUAUACCAUUAUUAUGCUUGUUUUAAGAAGUCCAACCAAAAAAAACAGCAUUUAUGUUAGUGUACUGAUAGUAUAAUAAUUUAAAGAAAAAAAUCUGUACUUUUUUGAGGAUGCAACACAUGCAUUUUCUUUCAUCUACACUUAUAUUGGAAUUUGGGUCAAGCUGACUCAAAGUAGCCCAGUUAUGUAGUAAAGAUGACUCAAUUCUGCACAGCUGUUUGCUCAACAAAUGGGCAAAGAUACACCGACUAUUUACAAGUCCACUCAAAGUCCCACUCCGAAUGUUUUUUUUACUACUUCAUGUGUUAUCAGUGGUCUUUAAAUUGUGAUUAUAAAGUUUUUACCAAAAAUCACCAUUUUCAAGGUUUUUUUCUUCUUCUGCAGAGCUCCAGUGGAUCAUUAGCAACUCGCCUCUGAGUCGUGGGCAGAGACAACGUUGCUCUGCACACUCGUCUUCACGUUAGCUUGCAGCCUGACAUGCCGGUGUAGUAGAAGUGGUAAAAGUUAAUAUCAUAAUUAGCUUUCUUACGAGCAUUGCAAUCCGCUAACGCACACACUUGUUCCGUGAUCGUCCUCAGUAUUUCUCCUCUAUAUGCAGAGUGUGGGUGGAGCUUGGAUUUGCUACGUAUGAAAUCUCACUGUUUCUGAACCUGCUGUUUGGGUCUGCCAGAGAUUCACAAAGAUUUGAAUGAAGAAAUACUCAGAAAAGCAAUUUCACAUUUAGUUUUCUCUUGGUAUGUCUUGUAGCAUCAGAAAAAUGCCAGGUGAGCAAAUAAAAACACAAGAAAAACAUGAUUUUCAUCAGAGUUGGUCUUAAAUCCUUCAUAAACACACAAAUAUUAAGCUCUUGCUAACUUUAAGCAAGCCUCUGCUUUUUGGAUUAUUAUAAAUGACGUGUUUGGUUGACACUCCUAUAUGGAGGUAUGGAGGUGGGAAAGUCAUAAAGGCAAACCUGACAAGAGGAUUUGGAGGAACAAUGUUAUUGCACUUUAUUAAUCUCUUUGUACAGGAUGUUCUCAAAGCCAGCUCCUAGCAGUCAUUCCUGGACCUGCAGCUGAAGACAAUCUGCUCAGGCCUCAGCGGUGAACCAUAAUGGCUGCUGCUUUCUGCUAAGCAGUAUGACUCAAGCAGUCAUGUUGCUAGAGGGCACCACCAUAGCUAUUUGGGCGGGUGCAUUUACUUUCCCUGCUCUGAUGUCUUUGAGCGUGGCUUUUCAUGUCCCUGCUUUUCAAACCGCUAAAAGUCUGCAGAGCGGUCCCUCUCUUUUUUUUUUUUCUCCAACCUAAUAUCAGGCUAUCUUUAGCACUGAAGUCACCGAGCUGAACCACCAUUCUUCACCGUACGUGUACAGUAUAGCACAUAGUGUCACUUCCACCUCCUAGUAGUUGACGUUGUGUGCAUCUGGCACAGUGUGUAGGCACAGCUGGUGUCAACAAGGACCUGCGCUGUCAAGAAGCACCAAACUCAGGUCAAGGUCAGGGAGGGAAAAGUUAGUGAUGGUGGAGGGAAGGAUGGUGGCAGUCCUGACUGAUGAUGUGGUUGACUGCACUCCUUCUAACAAACACACACACACACACACAAGACCUAUUUCCUUUCAUCCCCUUUUUCUUUACUAUGUCCCCUUGUCAUACAACACCCCCCACAACUCACCCCAGCUCACCACUUCCUCGUUUUUCCUCCCAGGUGCUCAGAAACGAUGUGGAUGAGGUCGAGGACAUGAGGAGCCCACCGGAGAGAGAACAGAUGUCACAUGCCUCUUGCACCACACUAUGGGAUGUGUGUGUGUGUGUUCUGAACGGUGACAGGUAGUGUGUUGUGGUUGAAAGGUAAGGCAGGGCCUGACUCCCAGUAGGAAAUGGAAUGAAAUGAGGGCUAAAGCAGCGGGGGAAGGGGCAACGGGAUACGAAAGAAAUGUAUGAAAAUAGGUAUGGGAUAUAGACACCUUGCUGUCUUGUGUUCACCUGUCAGUCAAAACUGAGGCUGUUACAUGCCUUGUUGUUUUCUGAGCUUUGAACAUUUUCAAAU
Molecule: non-coding RNA, 3062 nt
Organism: Xyrichtys novacula (pearly razorfish)
Lineage: Eukaryota; Metazoa; Chordata; Actinopteri; Labriformes; Labridae
Source: the annotation of a GenBank genome assembly